RNA transcript from Dendronephthya gigantea, 654 nucleotides. It is a transcript of the gene named biogenesis of lysosome-related organelles complex 1 subunit 1-like, with no coding region annotated. The transcript has 7 exons. Lineage: Eukaryota; Metazoa; Cnidaria; Anthozoa; Malacalcyonacea; Nephtheidae. The record is from RefSeq and is a predicted model, not a curated record.
AUGUAUAAUAUGUAAGAAAUUAGAAUUUUUAAUAGUUUGUUAUUUUCGGAUGAUCAAUCUAUUGAGAUAGGAAACAUGCUUUCUCGUGCACUGAAAGAACACCACGUUCAAAAACAAAGAAUCAGAGAUCAACAAGAGUUGAAGAGAAAAGAAGCAUUUGAAUCUGCAAACGUAGUUGUUGAUAAAUUAGUGAGCACAUUAAAUGAUGGUGUUGAGGAAGUUUAUCAGAAUCAGAAAAAAUUAGAAGCUGAGGCGAAGCAAUUACAAUCACAUGCAGCCCAGUUUUCAAAACAAACAAUUCAAUGGCUUCAGUUAGCUGAAGGUUUUAACCGUGCACUGAAGGAACUAGGAGAUGUUGAAAAUUGGUCCCAGGUUAUUGAAGCUGAAAUGACGACAAUUGCUGGAGCUUUGGAAUACGCCUAUAAAGGGGAUACUCCUGGCUGAUAUUUUCUACAUGUAAAGAUGAGACAAUCAUUCACGGGAGGUAUCACAUCCAUUCUGCUACAUAUAAUGCAAUAUUUCUAAAAUUCUAUCAACAUUGAUAAGAAACCUGGUGCAAAAUGAAGGACACAAAGUCAUAUAUUCAUCAAGAGACUCCAGAAUUUCUACUUUUGGACAACCAGCACAAAAGGACGAAUUUGGAGUAUUUUUGGC